This 726-nucleotide long non-coding RNA is filed under the name Gossypium barbadense (sea-island cotton). Its description in RNAcentral is "long non-coding RNA (GBAR_LNC014650)". The record is from RNAcentral. Lineage: Eukaryota; Viridiplantae; Streptophyta; Magnoliopsida; Malvales; Malvaceae.
AACUAAAAAAUUAUCGUUGCAAUGAACUUAAAUUUAACAAAAUAUUUUUAAUAUAUGUAAAAACAAUGUAAAAUAUAAAAUUAUAGAUAUUGUAAUGCCUAAAUUUUGCCCGGGUACAAAUAAUAAAAGGGCCCCAAAUAAAGACACAGUCCAAUUACAACAAAAUGGGACCCAAACCAAAAUAAAACACAGGCCCAAUUUGCGGUGGCCCAAAAUCGUCAGAAACUCUAGGGUUUCUAAUCUUCAACAGCGCCGCAACUCCAAUCUCCCAUGUAGGCCGAAUCUCCAUGGAUCUUCAUCUGCAUAGCAAGAAACAUGAAAAAAGGAAAGAAAUCAAAGAUUUCGAAUCAAGAGCGAUUAGUUUCUUUAUUUUUAUUUUAUUAUGGCUAUAAGAAGCCAUUAAACAUACUGUAAAAAAAGGGGAUUUUUUUCGGAGAAAUCAAUAAAAAAACGCAUAUUACAGCAAUAUCGAUCAACGAAAAACAAAAUAAAGAAAAGGUAGCGAUUUAUUUUCUUUGUUUCUGUUCGUCGAUUCGAUUUAUUUACUUGUUUAUACGGAAGGUAAAGGGAAAAGGAAGAAGGAAUUACCUUGGCCUUCAGAUCCGCGGGAAAAGGAGCCGAAAAACCCCUUUAGGGUGAGGUUCUGACCAUCGUUCACGGUGGGAGCACGGCGGAGGUUAGGCGGCGGCAAGGCUAGAAAUGAAACCCUAGCAGAGGAGCAUCAAA